GAUGAACGCUGGCGGCGUGCCUAAUACAUGCAAGUCGAGGGAACGGACGAGAAGCUUGCUUCUCUUGUGUUAGCGGCGGCCGGGCGAGUAACACGUGGGUAACCUACCUAUAAGACUGGGAUAACUUCGGGAAACCGGAGCUAAUACCGGUAGAUAUUUUUAACCGACUGGUUCAAAAGUGUAAGACGGUCUUUCUGUCACUUAUAGAUGGAUCCGCGCUGCAUUAGCUAGUUGGUAAGGUAACGGCUUACCAAGGCAACGAUGCAUAGCCGACCUGAGAGGGUGAUCGGCCACACUGGAACUGAGACACGGUCCAGACUCCUACGGGAGGCAGCAGUAGGGAAUCUUCCGCAAAGGGCGAGAGCCUGACGGAGCAACGCCGCGUGAGUGAUGAAGGUCUUCGGAUCGUAAAACUCUGUUAUUAGGGAAGAACAUAUGUGUAAGUAACUGUGCACAUCUUGACGGUACCUAAUCAGAAAGCCACGGCUAACUACGUG
This 497-nucleotide ribosomal RNA is filed under the name uncultured bacterium. RNAcentral's name for it is "partial 16S ribosomal RNA". It matches the Rfam family "Bacterial small subunit ribosomal RNA", at positions 28 to 507 of the family's 1533-position model. The record is from RNAcentral.